This 528-nucleotide ribosomal RNA is filed under the name uncultured Acidobacteriota bacterium. RNAcentral's name for it is "bacterial SSU rRNA". It matches the Rfam family "Bacterial small subunit ribosomal RNA", at positions 355 to 897 of the family's 1533-position model. Lineage: Bacteria; Pseudomonadati; Acidobacteriota. The record is from RNAcentral.
UCGGGAAUUUUGGGCAAUGGGCGAAAGCCUGACCCAGCAACGCCGCGUGAAGGAUGAAGUAUUUCGGUAUGUAAACUUCGAAAGAAUGGGAAGAACUCAAUGACGGUACCAUUUAUAAGCUCCGGCUAACUACGUGCCAGCAGCCGCGGUAAUACGUAGGGAGCAAGCGUUGUUCGGAUUUACUGGGCGUAAAGGGCGCGUAGGCGGCAAAUUAAGUCAGCUGUGAAAUCUCCGAGCUUAACUCGGAACUGUCAGCUGAUACUGAUCUGCUAGAGUGCGGAAGGGGCAAUCGGAAUUCUUGGUGUAGCGGUGAAAUGCGUAGAUAUCAAGAGGAACACCUGAGGUGAAGACGGGUUGCUGGGCCGACACUGACGCUGAUGCGCGAAAGCCAGGGGAGCAAACGGGAUUAGAUACCCCGGUAGUCCUGGCCUUAAACGAUGAAUACUUGGUGUCUGGAGUCUCUAUAGCUCCGGGUGCCGUCGCUAACGUUUUUAGUAUUCCGCCUGGGGAGUACGCACGCAAGUGUGA